GUUUUGCGUGAGCGAUGGUAGUGAAAAUCCUUUUGUCUUGGCGGCGGCUUUGCCGCCGCCAAGACAAAAGAUUGUAGCGGACGUAGCGACCCGAG
This 95-nucleotide small RNA is filed under the name Chryseobacterium formosense. RNAcentral's name for it is "Flavo-1 RNA". Lineage: Bacteria; Pseudomonadati; Bacteroidota; Flavobacteriia; Flavobacteriales; Weeksellaceae. The record is from RNAcentral.